UUUGGGGUGAUUCGGUAUGCAGCAGUAAUAGCCACCACCAUCUCCCUGAACAUCAUUCUUUAAACCUGUGUUGAUAACUAGUACACACAGCGCCUGCAGGGCCCCACCCUGUCUCCUGGCCAAAGAGACUCAAGAAAUCCGGGCAGAGAAUGGUGCUCCCUGCUGCCCAGCGGAGAUGACCACUUCACGGAGAGCAGAGAGAGGAAGGAGGAGGAGAGCGAAAAGAAAGGUCCUCUUUCAGGCUGAGGACGCUGUGGAGUGGCCUCCCCUGGCCUGCCAAGAGCUGACUCACCGGCCGGGACACAGCAUUACAGGUGCACUCAGCACAGACAAUGGAUGCUUUUUAUACACAGCCCCACGCCUGACCGAGACUGACCACUGGGGUCAGGUAGAGACGGUGCCCCAGGGAGUAUGGGCCUGGAGGCAUGAGUAGGAGAGGACCUGGCCUGGAAGCUGCCAUUCUCCAGCCUUCCAGAGCUGGGGUCUGAGCAUUCACAGCCAUGGAGACCCUGCAAUUUCAUGGCCAAGGGACUUCUGAGGUUGGAGGCAGGGAGAAGCGCAGGGUUACUGACACGCAGGCUGUUCACGGCUCUGACAUCGGCAGCUGUGUGAACGGGGGCAAGAUCCUGAGGCUCCCUGGGCCUCAGCCUUCUCAUCUGUACCAUGGAAGAGAUGGCAGCAACCCAGUGGGCUGUGCAGGUAUGAGGGGUGGUGAUUAGUGGGCUGGGCCCUGCAGUCCACUCCACAUAGCGCCGAGCCCAUCUGCCUUCUCCUCUCUGGGCCAGGGCGUCUUUCCUGUUCUCUUGGCCCCAUGCUGGGGUCUCUGGCAUCCGCAUGAUCCUCCCAUCCCUCCUCCUCAGCAUCCCUCCCUGGUGAGCCUGGCUCCU
Heterocephalus glaber (naked mole-rat) is the source of this 887-nucleotide non-coding RNA. The record is from RefSeq and is a predicted model, not a curated record. Lineage: Eukaryota; Metazoa; Chordata; Mammalia; Rodentia; Bathyergidae.